Molecule: non-coding RNA, 22 nt
Filed under: Arabidopsis thaliana (thale cress)
Lineage: Eukaryota; Viridiplantae; Streptophyta; Magnoliopsida; Brassicales; Brassicaceae
Source: RNAcentral
UGUCCGGGCUAGGUGUCAUCAU